AAAUGAAUUGACGGGGGCCCGCACAAGCAGCGGAGCAUGUGGUUUAAUUCGAAGCAACGCGAAGAACCUUACCAAGGCUUGACAUCCUCUGACGCGCGUAGAGAUACGCGUUUCCCUUCGGGGACAGGGAGACAGGUGGUGCAUGGUUGUCGUCAGCUCGUGUCGUGAGAUGUUGGGUUAAGUCCCGCAACGAGCGCAACCCUUAUCAUUAGUUGCCAGCGAGUAAAGUCGGGAACUCUAAUGAGACUGCCGAGGACAACUCGGAGGAAGGUGGGGAUGAUGUCAAAUCAGCAUGCCCUUUAUGUCUUGGGCUACACACGUGCUACAAUGGCCGGUACAAAGAGGAGCGAGCCUGUGAAGGUGAGCGAAUCUCAAAAAGCCGGUCUCAGUUCAGAUUGUGGGCUGCAACCCGCCCACAUGAAGUCGGAGUUGCUAGUAAUCGCGAAUCAGCAUGUCGCGGUGAAUGCGUUCCCGGGCCUUGUACACACCGCCCGU
This 495-nucleotide ribosomal RNA is filed under the name uncultured bacterium. RNAcentral describes it as "bacterial SSU rRNA". It matches the Rfam family "Bacterial small subunit ribosomal RNA", at positions 903 to 1397 of the family's 1533-position model. The record is from RNAcentral.